This 254-nucleotide ribosomal RNA is filed under the name uncultured bacterium. RNAcentral's name for it is "partial 16S ribosomal RNA". It matches the Rfam family "Bacterial small subunit ribosomal RNA", at positions 524 to 776 of the family's 1533-position model. The record is from RNAcentral.
UACGGGGGGAGCAAGCGUUGUUCGGAUUUACUGGGCGUAAAGGGCGCGUAGGCGGUCAGCACAAGUCAGUUGUGAAAUCUCCGGGCUUAACUCGGAAAGGUCAACUGAUACUGUGCGACUAGAGUGCGGAAGGGGCAACUGGAAUUCUCGGCGUAGCGGUGGAAUGCGUAGAUAUCGAGAGGAACACCUGCGGCGAAGGCGGGUUGCUGGGCCGACACUGACGCUGAUGCGCGAAAGCCAGGGGAGCGAACGGG